This 73-nucleotide transfer RNA is filed under the name Ziziphus mauritiana (Indian jujube). RNAcentral describes it as "tRNA-Lys". It matches the Rfam family "tRNA". From Rfam's summary of the family: Transfer RNA (tRNA) molecules are approximately 80 nucleotides in length. The record is from RNAcentral. Lineage: Eukaryota; Viridiplantae; Streptophyta; Magnoliopsida; Rosales; Rhamnaceae.
GGGUGUAUAGCUCAGUUGGCAGAGCAUUGGGCUUUUAAUCUAAUGGUCGCAGGUUCAAGUCCUGCUAUACCCA